This 282-nucleotide ribosomal RNA is filed under the name uncultured Methanolinea sp. RNAcentral describes it as "partial 16S ribosomal RNA". It matches the Rfam family "Archaeal small subunit ribosomal RNA", at positions 1054 to 1338 of the family's 1478-position model. Lineage: Archaea; Methanobacteriati; Methanobacteriota; Methanomicrobia; Methanomicrobiales; Methanoregulaceae. The record is from RNAcentral.
ACGCCAACAGUUGCCAGCAUGCUCGGAUGAUGGGGACACUGUUGGGACCGCCUCUGCUAAAGAGGAGGAAGGGAAUGGGCAACGGUAGGCCAGCAUGCCCCGAAUUAUCCGGGCUACACGCGGGCUACAAUGGUCAGGACAAUGGGUAUCGACACCGAGAGGUGGAGGCAAUCUCCUAAACCUGUCCUUAGUUCGGAUUGUGGGCUGCAACUCGCCCACAUGAAGCUGGAAUCCGUAGUAAUCGCGUUUCAAAAUAGCGCGGUGAAUAUGUCCCUGCUCCUU